Oreochromis niloticus (Nile tilapia) is the source of this 846-nucleotide long non-coding RNA. RefSeq lists it as uncharacterized. Lineage: Eukaryota; Metazoa; Chordata; Actinopteri; Cichliformes; Cichlidae. The record is from RefSeq and is a predicted model, not a curated record. The transcript is spliced from 4 exons.
UUAGCUACAGGGGUUCAUGGGGUUAUUUUUUCAUUUGCUUUCUUGGGAUUCCUUUACUGUAAUCAGAGAGUCAUAAAUAUCGAAUAGGAUAGCAAGGAUAGCAUAAAGUGACAUUUAAAAUCCAAAAAGUCGAGGGCAAAAGCCACUGUGACACCAUUGUUAUGCUCUAUCAGUAAUCUGUAUUAGGUAAAAAUGGUCCGUAAAUACAGCAUGUUUCCUAGUGGUGUUAUACAGAUCAGCAUAGUUAUAAAUUACAUUUUGUUAAAUCACACACUUAAUUUUUUUUUAAAUGAAAUUAUUCACGACAUAUGAGUGGACAGACAAUGUAGGUCGACAGAUCUGGUGAUAAUUGCUUCUAUAGAAAAUUAGCACAUGGCAGUGUCAAUCUCCUGCUUUUCUUCUGAGUAGUAUUUUAUUUAGUUGUAAUUCAAUCAAUAAUUUGCUUCUUGAAAUUAAUUAAUGAAUUUCUUGUUUUACUUUAUAAAUCUCAGAUCCUGCCUUUACCUGCUCCCUCCUAUACUGAUGUGGUGUAUGUGGUACUGCUGAGCUUGUAUGUGAUCUGAACCAUUGUAAAGGUUGCAGUUCAAAGACCUCAGGUGGAAGCAGAAUUUGUGGAUUGCUACUGCUCCACUUGUUCCAAGGCUUUUUGCACAACUUGACCAAUACACCAAUGACCAGCUCAUAAAAGUCUUCAAGAAAAAAGGAGGCGCUGCAGGGAGGAAAAUUAGACAAACUUUGGCCCCAGCCACAAAGAAGCAAACUAUUGAAAAGGGGAGGGAGUGUGUCCUCAGGGCACUACCUUUUUACCUGAAUGAAGACUCAAGCAUCCUCUUCAAAGAAUACCUG